UCGCAAACCUGGGCACCAUAAAAAGGACUGCCUGAAACGUAAGGCAUGGUUCGAAAGUAAAGGGAUUCCUUUCAACCCAGACCAUAAAUCCAAAUGAAAAGUUUGUCCUCAUGGGAAAUCGAGUCAAAGCUCCAGUUGAAGCCAUUGGAACUUAUCGUUUGAUUUUAGAUACUGAACAUCAUUUAGAUUUAUUUCAAACACUUUAUGUACCUUCCAUUUCUCGCAA
Molecule: long non-coding RNA, 226 nt
Organism: Olea europaea var. sylvestris
Lineage: Eukaryota; Viridiplantae; Streptophyta; Magnoliopsida; Lamiales; Oleaceae
Exons: 2
Source: RefSeq, a predicted model, not a curated record